UAGGGAAUCUUCCACAAUGGACGCAAGUCUGAUGGAGCAACGCCGCGUGAGUGAAGAAGGUUUUCGGAUCGUAAAGCUCUGUUGUUGGUGAAGAAGGAUAGAGGCAGUAACUGGUCUUUAUUUGACGGUAAUCAACCAGAAAGUCACGGCUAACUACGUGCCAGCAGCCGCGGUAAUACGUAGGUGGCAAGCGUUGUCCGGAU
Molecule: ribosomal RNA, 203 nt
Filed under: uncultured bacterium
Lineage: Bacteria
Description: partial 16S ribosomal RNA
Rfam family: Bacterial small subunit ribosomal RNA
Source: RNAcentral